GUAGGUGGCAAGCGUUGUCCGGAAUUAUUGGGCGUAAAGCGCGCGCAGGCGGGUCCUUUAAGUCUGAUGUGAAAGCCCACGGGCUCAACCGUGGAGGGUCAUUGGAAACUGGGGGACUUGAGUACAGAAGAGGAAAGCGGAAUUCCAAGUGUAGCGGUGAAAUGCGUAGAGAUUUGGAGGAACACCAGUGGCGAAGGCGGCUUUCUGGUCUGCAACUGACGCUGAGGCGCGAAAGCGUGGGGAGCAAACAGGAUUAGAUACCCUGGUAGUCCACGCCGUAAACGAUGAGUGUUAAGUGUUAGGGGGUUUCCGCCCCUUAGUGCUGCAGCUAACGCAUUAAGCACUCCGCCUGGGGAGUACGGCCGCAAAGGCUG
Molecule: ribosomal RNA, 374 nt
Filed under: uncultured organism
Description: partial 16S ribosomal RNA
Rfam family: Bacterial small subunit ribosomal RNA
Source: RNAcentral